UUUAUGGAGAGUUUGAUCCUGGCUCAGGAUGAACGCUGGCGGCGUGCCUAAUACAUGCAAGUCGAGCGAACAGACGAGGAGCUUGCUCCUCUGACGUUAGCGGCGGACGGGUGAGUAACACGUGGAUAACCUACCUAUAAGACUGGGAUAACUUCGGGAAACCGGAGCUAAUACCGGAUAAUAUAUUGAACUGCAUGGUUCAAUAGUGAAAGACGGUUUUGCUGUCACUUAUAGAUGGAUCCGCGCCGCAUUAGCUAGUUGGUAAGGUAACAGCUUACCAAGGCAACGAUGCGUAGCCGACCUGAGAGGGUGAUCGGCCACACUGGAACUGAGACACGGUCCAGACUCCUACGGGAGGCAGCAGUAGGGAAUCUUCCGCAAUGGGCGAAAGCCUGACGGAGCAACGCCGCGUGAGUGAUGAAGGUCUUCGGAUCGUAAAACUCUGUUAUUAGGGAAGAACAAAUGUGGAAGUAACUAUGCACGU
RNAcentral lists this ribosomal RNA (484 nucleotides) under Shigella flexneri. RNAcentral's name for it is "bacterial SSU rRNA". It matches the Rfam family "Bacterial small subunit ribosomal RNA", at positions 1 to 475 of the family's 1533-position model. Lineage: Bacteria; Pseudomonadati; Pseudomonadota; Gammaproteobacteria; Enterobacterales; Enterobacteriaceae. The record is from RNAcentral.